Molecule: long non-coding RNA, 203 nt
Filed under: Olea europaea (common olive)
Lineage: Eukaryota; Viridiplantae; Streptophyta; Magnoliopsida; Lamiales; Oleaceae
Description: long non-coding RNA (OEUR_LNC012829)
Source: RNAcentral
UGAGCAUUUGAAUGCGAAGUUAAAGCAAGCACUGACACUUCCGUCGCUCAAUCUUUCUGCUGAUUUUAAAGUGACGUUGAAAGUUAUCCAUUCCGAGGUCCUCUCCUUGCUGGCCAAGAAUGUUGAACUGAAGGCCAAAAGUACUCAAUAUCUUCGCGCCGUAUCUGAAAAAGAGUCUUUGCGUCAGGAGAUCAACAAAGCUG